Molecule: long non-coding RNA, 361 nt
Organism: Heterocephalus glaber (naked mole-rat)
Lineage: Eukaryota; Metazoa; Chordata; Mammalia; Rodentia; Bathyergidae
Source: Ensembl
GCAGGAAGUCCUUCAUGAAGUGGGAGGAAAUGAUCUUUGAGGGUUCAAUCCUGGGCCUUAGCAAAAUGUCUUGGAUUCCAGGGGCGUGUCUUGAGCCCAAUGCUCUGACUUGCUCCAAGCCUCUGUUAGCAUUCCUCUGAAAGAGGUACUGUUAUCUCCAUUUCUCAGAGGAGGAAACUGAAGCCCAGAGAGGCUGUCACUCACCCAAGGUCACACAACUGGACCCCUUGUGCUCCUCAACCUGGGAUCUGUGUCUCCCAGGAUAUGUGGCAAUGUGCUGAGAGAAACAGAAAGCAACAGUUACUGUGUGGCCAUGAAUUUUUCUCAAAGAUUUUGGAAGUAAAUAUCAUCUGGAUUACAU